CCCUUAGAUGUUCUGGGCUGCACGCGUGCUACACUGAUAUUGCCAAUAUGUCAUUCUUAUCCGAAAUGGAUUGGGUAAUCAAGUAAUGAAAUUUCAUGCUUGGAAUCGGUAAUUGCAAUUUUAUCGUGAACGAGGAAUUCCUAGUAAGCACUAGUCAUCAGCUAAUGUUGAUUAUGUCCCUGCCCUUUGUACACACCGCCCGUCGCUACUACUGAUUGGGUGUUCAAGUGAGAUGCUUAGACCCUUGUUGCAUGGUUCAUUAUUGUGCUCCGAAAGGAAAAAGUUUCAAGCUUGAGUGUCUAGAGGAAGUAGAAGUCGUAACA
RNAcentral lists this ribosomal RNA (323 nucleotides) under uncultured eukaryote. RNAcentral's name for it is "partial 18S ribosomal RNA". It matches the Rfam family "Eukaryotic small subunit ribosomal RNA", at positions 1470 to 1796 of the family's 1831-position model. The record is from RNAcentral.